RNAcentral lists this ribosomal RNA (468 nucleotides) under uncultured bacterium. RNAcentral's name for it is "partial 16S ribosomal RNA". It matches the Rfam family "Bacterial small subunit ribosomal RNA", at positions 28 to 507 of the family's 1533-position model. The record is from RNAcentral.
GACGAACGCUGGCGGCGUGCUUAACACAUGCAAGUCGAACGGAAAGGCCCUGCGUUUGUGGGGUGCUCGAGUGGCGAACGGGUGAGUAACACGUGAGUAACCUGCCCUUGACUUUGGGAUAAGUUCAGGAAACUGGGGCUAAUACCGGAUAGGAGCUCCUGCUGCAUGGUGGGGGUUGGAAAGUUUCGGCGGGUGGGGAUGGACUCGCGGCUUAUCAGCUUGUUGGUGGGGUAGUGGCUGACCAAGGCUGUGACGGGUAGCCGGCCUGAGAGGGUGACCGGCCACAUUGGGACUGAGAUACGGCGCAGACUCCUACGGGAGGCAGCAGUGGGGAAUAUUGCACAAUGGGCGGAAGCCUGAUGCAGCAACGCCGCGUGCGGGAUGACGGCCUUCGGGUUGUAAACCGCUUUCGCCUGUGACGAAGCGUGAGUGACGGUAAUGGGUAAAGAAGCACCGGCUAACUACGUG